This 31-nucleotide non-coding RNA is filed under the name Mus musculus (house mouse). Lineage: Eukaryota; Metazoa; Chordata; Mammalia; Rodentia; Muridae. The record is from RNAcentral.
UUUCUGUGCUACACAAGAUUAAAGGUCGCUC